Long non-coding RNA from Dasypus novemcinctus (nine-banded armadillo), 1552 nucleotides. The record is from Ensembl. Lineage: Eukaryota; Metazoa; Chordata; Mammalia; Cingulata; Dasypodidae.
CUGCCCAGGCUUGAGCCCAUCACCACUGAAAGCCUGCCCUCCAACCAAACGGUCAUGGACCUCUAGCUUUGAGGAACACCGAUCCAACCCCCGCGACCGCUCUGGAAAUUCAAAUGGAUUUAGCGUCAGCUUGACCUCCUCCCAAUUCCAACCUGUCCCCUGUUUUUCACAGCACAACAAAGUUGUAGGGCCCCUCCGGCCGCUGCUGGGCAGACGCUCUCCUCCUGUUUGGAGAGAUGCGCUUCGGUGAGCGGUGACCCAAGCCUAACGCGCUGGUGCGGGGAGCCAAGCGCAGACCGCACGGUCACUCACCCCGGGGGACGCUCUGGCAGACGCUGUGGCCGCCACCUGGGCGCUCGGCCGCUGGCCCCGCGCAGCUCCACCCCCGCCCGUACUUUACCUCUUGAUGUAGUUCCUGCCGUACAGGAUCUGUUGCAGCAAGGUCACCAAGGCGAAGGCGCAGAUGAAGAUGAAGAGCAAAGUUCGGUUCCCCAACAAAUCCCGGGUUUGCCGAGGGGUCCGCGUAACGCAUCCUGGCGGCGGCUCCGGCGCGGCGGGGCGCGGAGGGCACCCGGCGCGGAGGAGCCAGGCGAUCACGCGCGGGGCUCCGAGGCCCCGGGGGGCGCGCGGCCGACCGGGAGUCUCAUGUCACCGUCAGGCGGGCGGGGGACUUGGCGGGAAAGGAAACAAAUGUACAGAACAGUGCCAUGAAUGAUCUCAUGGUAAAGACAUCCAUGGAACCACCACGAAGGAAAAAAGAAAAAGAAACCACCAGCCCAAGAGCUUCCUCCCAACCUCAUGUGUCCUCUUGAAUCCUUUCCUUUUCUCUACUUCUCUUCUCAACUCUGUCCUAGUCCCCCCUUCUCCUCUACUCAUCUCACUUCCCAGGCCUCCCAGGCCCCCCAGCCCGGGGUAUAGUUUGAAGACUCUUGAGCCUCCUGGUGCCCUGGAAACAGUGUGAACUUUGGAACAGACUUAUCAAGAUCUAGACCUCAGCUUCUCUACUCACCAGGCAAGAAACACAACCUCUCCAUUCGCCCCACAAGCACUGUCCUGAGGGGACAGCCCGACGGGUCUCUCCUGCCAUGGCGCCUAGGAUUGCUGGCACUACACUCUUGCUUAUAUUCCUUUACUUGGGCCUUGUAAAGACCUUGUGAGGGAACACCCAUUAUUUCCAAUCCACAGAUGGACACUUUGCUGCCUCAGGGAGCAGAAGUGACCUGCCCUGCAGCCAGAUGAAGACUACACCUGGGCUCUGAGGUGAGGCCAGCCUGGAACCCAGAAGGGAAGUCGGACCUGCGCACAGUCCCAUGGCCAGCCAGACACUCACUUUCCCCGGGGGUGCCUGGUUCUUUAAAAGGUGUACCAUCAUCUUCACCAAUACUUACCUCAGCUCGUCAGAAUGCUUCCUAGACAGACACACAAAUGCCAGCCUUAUGACAUUUGCUAAUAAAAACAAACUCCCUCAGCAGGAUUGGGUUCCAGUGGUCCCUAAUGACUGCUACAGGCAUAAGGGGGAAGAUCAAGUGUGUGGGACUCUCCAGGACGGCAC